ACAAACUUGGUCAUUUAGAGGAAGUAAAAGUCGUAACAAGGUCUCCGUUGGUGAACCAGCGGAGGGAUCAUUAAAGAGUUUAACAACUCCCAAACCCAUGUGAACUUACCUAUUGUUGCCUCGGCAGGUCCCGCCAGAUCGUCCUACCCUGUAGGGCUUGACGGCGGGGUAAGCCUGUCGGCGGCCCGAGAAACUCUGUUUAUCUUUGUUAUUUCUGAACUCAUAACUAAAUAAGUUAAAACUUUCAACAACGGAUCUCUUGGUUCUGGCAUCGAUGAAGAACGCAGC
This 288-nucleotide unclassified non-coding RNA is filed under the name uncultured fungus. RNAcentral's name for it is "partial contains small subunit ribosomal RNA, internal transcribed spacer 1, and 5.8S ribosomal RNA". The stretch from base 1 to 73 matches the Rfam family "Eukaryotic small subunit ribosomal RNA", at positions 1759 to 1831 of the family's 1831-position model. The record is from RNAcentral. Lineage: Eukaryota; Fungi.